GUAAAGGGCGCGUAGGCGGCUUGGCAAGUCAGAUGUGAAAGCCCCGGGCUUAACUUGGGAAUUGCAUCUGAAACUGCUUUGCUUGAGUCCUGGAGGGGGUAGUGGAAUUCCCAGUGUAGCGGUGAAAUGCGUAGAUAUUGGGAGGAACACCAGCGGCGAAGGCGGCUACCUGGACAGUGACUGACGCUGAGGCGCGAAAGCUAGGGGAGCAAACGGGAUUAGAUACCCCGGUAGUCCUAGCCGUAAACUAUGGGCACUUGGUGUCGGGGGUAUUGAGUCCCCCGGUGCCGUAGUUAACAUGGUAAGUGCCCCGCCUGGGGAGUACGGUCGCAAGACUGAAACUCAAAGGAAUUGACGGGGGCCCGCACAAGCGGUGGAGCAUGUGGUUCAAUUCGACGCAUCGCGAAGAACCUUACCGGGGCUCGAACGGUAGUCGCUACUCCUGGAAACGGGUGGUCCUCGUAAGAGACGGCUAUCGAGGUGCUGCAUGGCUGUCGUCAGCUCGUGUCGUGAGAUGUUGGGCUAAGUCCCGCAACGAGCGCAACCCUUGCCCUUAGUUGCCAUCGGGUAAGGCCGGGCACCUAAGGGAACUGUCGGCGAAAAGCCGGAGGAAGGUGGGGAUGACGUCAAGUCCUCAUGGCCCUUACGUCCCGGGCUACACACGUGCUACAAUGGCCGGUACAAAGGGUUGCCAACCCGCGAGGGGGAGCUAAUCCCAAAAAGCCGGUCCCAGUCCGGAUUGCAGUCUGCAACUCGACUGCAUGAGGUCGGAAUCGCUAGUAAUC
Molecule: ribosomal RNA, 785 nt
Filed under: uncultured Acidobacterium sp.
Lineage: Bacteria; Pseudomonadati; Acidobacteriota; Terriglobia; Terriglobales; Acidobacteriaceae
Description: bacterial SSU rRNA
Rfam family: Bacterial small subunit ribosomal RNA
Source: RNAcentral